Molecule: ribosomal RNA, 500 nt
Filed under: uncultured bacterium
Lineage: Bacteria
Description: partial 16S ribosomal RNA
Rfam family: Bacterial small subunit ribosomal RNA
Source: RNAcentral
AUUGAACGCUGGCGGCAUGCCUUACACAUGCAAGUCGAACGGCAGCACGGGAGCAAUCCUGGUGGCGGGUGGCGAACGGGUGAGUAAAGUAUCGGAACGUGCCCAGUGGUGGGGGAUAACGUAGCGAAAGUUACGCUAAUACCGCAUACGCUCGAUGGAUGACAGCGGGGGAUCGCAAGACCUCGUGCGAAUGGAGCGGCCGAAAUCAGAUUAGGUAGUUGGUGGGGUAAAGGCUCACCAAGCCGACAAUCUGUAGCUGGUCUGAGAGGACGACCAGCCACACGGGGACUGAGACACGGCCCAGACUCCUACGGGAGGCAUCAGUGGGGAAUUUUGGACAAUGGGCGAAAGCCUGAUCCAGCCAUGCCGCGUGCAGGAUGAAGGCCUUCGGGUUGUAAACUGCUUUUGUACGGAACGAAAAGGUUUGGCCUAAUAAGCUGAGCUCAUGACGGUACCGUAAGAAUAAGCACCGGCUAACUACGUGCCAGCAGCCGCAGUAA